AAGCGCAUCGAGGGAGCCCGCUCAAGCUGAAGCGCUGCACGAGCUGUGUCUUCCUUCUCUCCGCCGCGAAUGCGGGCAGGAUGCGAGCAAAAGACCCGGCAAAGAGGGCGCCGAGGGGGCGCAGCCGGGGCGCUGGGCGGACCCAGAGGGGACAUGGAGAGGAACGCGGAAGGUGCCCUCUGCGGUGGGCAUUACUAUUUCCACCAUCCUCAUGAUGGAUCUGGAAUCCACGGGGGUCCCCUGCCCAGGAUCGUGCAGCCUGUGGAAGGCAGCAGGCGCCGGGAUGCCGAAUGGAUUGAAUGAGCUUCUCGGGGAUUCCCUGAGCUUGGUGAACGCAGAGCCCACCCUGACGGUCAGGCCUAACCCCACCGCCAAUAACAGAGCAGCCCUAGGUGGAAGUGGGCUGCCUGUGCCUGGCACUGGGAGCGGCAGAGGCGGCUGCCGCUGUGGAAGUAGCGCCCGCAGUGCCAAGCUCCUGUGCCUGGGAGGACGCGGGCACUGGGCGACCUGCAGUCGGGGCUGCCCCCAGGCAGGGCUCCCUGGCUUUCUCACAGC
Homo sapiens (human) is the source of this 555-nucleotide long non-coding RNA. The record is from Ensembl. Lineage: Eukaryota; Metazoa; Chordata; Mammalia; Primates; Hominidae.